Molecule: transfer RNA, 62 nt
Filed under: Doliolum nationalis
Lineage: Eukaryota; Metazoa; Chordata; Thaliacea; Doliolida; Doliolidae
Description: tRNA-Ala
Source: RNAcentral
AAAACUUUAGCUUAAGAAAAAUAACACCUUUGCAAGGUGUAGAUAAGACCACUUAAGUUUUA